UACGGGGGGGGCAAGCGUUGUUCGGAAUUACUGGGCGUAAAGGGCGCGUAGGCGGGUGGACAAGUCCCUCGUGAAAGCCCACGGCUCAACCGUGGAAUUGCGGGAGAUACUGUCUGUCUUGAGUCCGGGAGAGGAGGGUGGAAUUCCCAGUGUAGCGGUGAAAUGCGUAGAUAUUGGGAGGAACUCCGGUUGCGCAGGCGGCUCUCUGGACCGGUACUGACGCUGAGGCGCGAAAGCUAGGGGAGCAAACGCG
Molecule: ribosomal RNA, 253 nt
Filed under: uncultured bacterium
Lineage: Bacteria
Description: partial 16S ribosomal RNA
Rfam family: Bacterial small subunit ribosomal RNA
Source: RNAcentral